GGGUCCGCGUUCCAUUAGCUAGUUGGUGGGGUAAAGGCCUACCAAGGCAACGAUGGGUAGCUGGUCUGAGAGGAUGAUCAGCCCACUGGAACUGGAACACGGUCCACACUCCUACGGGAGGCAGCAGUGGGGAAUUUUGGGCAAUGGGGGCAACCCUGACCCAGCAACGCCGUGUGAGGGAAGAAGGUUUUCGGAUCGUAAACCUCUGUCAUGAGGGAAGAUGUGCAUGCCAAGUAAUAUGUGGUAUGUUUGACGGUACCUCCAAAGGAAGCACCGGCUAACUCCGUGCCAGCAGCCGCGGUAAUACGGAGGGUGCGAGCGUUAUUCGGAAUUACUGGGCGUAAAGCGCGCGUAGGCGGCGCGGCAAGUCAGAUGUGAAAGCCCCGGGCUCAACCUGGGAAUUGCAUUUGAAACUGCCGUGCUUGAGUAAGGUAGAGGGUGGCGGAAUUCCCGGUGUAGGAGUGAAAUCCGUAGAUAUCGGGAGGAACACCAAUGGCGAAGGCGGGCACCUGGGCCUUUACUGACGCUGAGGUGCGAAAGCGUGGGUAGCAAACAGGAUUAGAUACCCUGGUAGUCCACGCUGUAAACGAUGAACGCUA
RNAcentral lists this ribosomal RNA (599 nucleotides) under uncultured delta proteobacterium. RNAcentral describes it as "bacterial SSU rRNA". It matches the Rfam family "Bacterial small subunit ribosomal RNA", at positions 227 to 818 of the family's 1533-position model. The record is from RNAcentral. Lineage: Bacteria; Deltaproteobacteria.